RNAcentral lists this ribosomal RNA (537 nucleotides) under Triticum aestivum (bread wheat). Its description in RNAcentral is "partial small subunit ribosomal RNA". The record is from RNAcentral. Lineage: Eukaryota; Viridiplantae; Streptophyta; Magnoliopsida; Poales; Poaceae.
AUGUUACGGGAGAGAUGUGGCCCUCGUGAUAGUGUAUAUGUGACCGUGGAAGAGAAAGUUGCAAUGUUUUUGCUUGUAGUUGGUCAUAGUAUUAAGACGAGGAUGUUGUGUGGCACCUACAAGCGUACUUUAUGGACCAUCAACACACACUUCUUUGUUGUCCUAAACGCCCUACUCUCUCUACAUGGGGAGUUCAUUAAGCUACCUUCCUCUACCUCUCAAGCUCCUGAUGAUUACAAAUGGAAGUGGUUUGGUAAUGCACUUGGAUCACUAGAUGGUUGUCAUAUUGACGUGCUUGUUGAUGUGGCUGACCAAGGAAGGUAUAGGAACGGAAAGCAAGCCAUUACCACUAACAUGCUAGGUGUUGUUGAUUGGAACAUGAAGUUUCUUUAUGUGUUACAUGGCUCGGAGGGUUCAGUUUCAGAUUCGAGAGUUUUGCGUGAUGCAAUGAGGGUGAACCGCCAAGAUGCUUUGUUGUGCCUAAGGGUACGACUCUUACUCUUGGCAUGUAGUUUCUUUGACUUGAUUGUUAGUUAA